This is a long non-coding RNA of Etheostoma cragini (Arkansas darter), 511 nucleotides long. RefSeq lists it as uncharacterized. The transcript has 3 exons. Lineage: Eukaryota; Metazoa; Chordata; Actinopteri; Perciformes; Percidae. The record is from RefSeq and is a predicted model, not a curated record.
AAAUAGUUGCAACCAAGGUUCCUGCUUUAACAGAGACCUUAACUGAAGCCCCUAUAGAACCUGUUAUAGCUCCUCCUGCCUCAGCUGUCUCUUAGGCACACAUUGUUAUGGCUCCCCUAGAAGGUGGUGAUGGCACCAGCAUGAAGACUCGCAGAGAAGAUUUUGGAGCUCUAGCUAUAUUGAUGCAAGAUGAAUCUGUAGUUCUGGUGAACAGAGGGACAGUGCUCGGUGCAGCAUUCUUCACACUAAUGUCUUUUAUUGUUACCGGGUUUCUUGGGAUGGCUAUAUACAAGAAACUUCGCUGAAUGCAAGACAGAUCAGUGGACAAAGAUCUGUUUGAUGAGCAAUUGAAGCUGAACAAGUUAUUCUACAUUGGAUUUUUACUUAGGAAAAGUCAAGUGAAGGAAAUUCUUCAAGAUUCGGACAGCCAGAAAGCCACCAUGAUAAUGGAAACCAGUGGUCAAAGUGGUUUUAAGAUCUUCUACUUAAGUAAAAGAAGCAAUAACAAAAU